GCCUCUGAGGAUGAAUACAAAAUUACUUUCGUUCUUCUGAAUGUUCCAUGCAGAGCAAGUUUUGGAGACCUGAACUGAAGGGCA
Molecule: small nucleolar RNA, 84 nt
Organism: Juglans microcarpa x Juglans regia
Lineage: Eukaryota; Viridiplantae; Streptophyta; Magnoliopsida; Fagales; Juglandaceae
Product: small nucleolar RNA Z159/U59
Exons: 1
Source: RefSeq, a predicted model, not a curated record